RNAcentral lists this ribosomal RNA (470 nucleotides) under uncultured bacterium. RNAcentral's name for it is "bacterial SSU rRNA". It matches the Rfam family "Bacterial small subunit ribosomal RNA", at positions 331 to 793 of the family's 1533-position model. The record is from RNAcentral.
AGAGCAUCCUACGGGAGGCAGCAGUGGGGAAUAUGCACAAUGGGCGCAAGCCUGAUGCAGCCAUGCCGCGUGUAUGAAGAAGGCCUUCGGGUUGUAAAGUACUUUCAGCAGUGAGGAAGGUGGGUAUGUUAAUAGCAUAUUCAUUUGACGUUAGCUGCAGAAGAAGCACCGGCUAACUCCGUGCCAGCAGCCGCGGUAAUACGGAGGGUGCGAGCGUUAAUCGGAAUUACUGGGCGUAAAAGCGCAUGCAGGUGGUUUGUUAAGUCAGAUGUGAAAGCCCGGGGCUCAACCUCGGAAUUGCAUUUGAAACUGGCAAACUAGAGUACUGUAGAGGGGGUAGAAUUUCAGGUGUAGCGGUGAAAAUGCGUAGAGAUCUGAAGGAAUACCGGUGGCGAAGGCGGCCCCCUGGACAGAUACUGACACUCAGAUGCGAAAGCGUGGGGAGCAAACAGGAUUAGAUACCCUUGUAG